UUACGAUGCCAGUGCCAACUGUUACAGUGGUAGAUGUCGCUGUGACCCGGGAUUCUUCCGAAACACAAUCUGUGUCAGCAUCAACCAACUUCGUCCUACCACUGUGACGGCCGUCGUACAAAGCACGACCACCAUGACAGCAACAUGGACAGCUCCUUCUAACGCCGUCGUCACCGGGUACAAGGUCGCGGUUACACCAGGGGCAUUACUCCAAUCCUUGUCGGCAGAGACAUCAGGACGCCCAUCACAGGUCUGAUGCCGGGGACAGUAUACACUGUGAACGUGAAGACAAAGAUUACCUAUCUGCAAGGACGAGAUGAGAUGACUGAUGCUGUAUCUGCAGCACCAAAGCGAACAACGCCGGCUUCUGUCACGGGCCUAGACAUGACCAAAACCAACUUGACCGCUCCAGACAUCACCGUUGUGUUCGCCAAGGCUGUUGGGGAUGCCACCAUGUACAUUGUGACACUCAGAGGACGGUAUCGAGAUACAUACAACCAACAACAUCAACCUGUCAACACUGGACAGGGUCUCAUCUCUGUCGUCUUCACUGUUGUUGUCCCAGCUGCAUCGUACAACCUGACCAUACUAACACAGGUGGGAACCUCCAGAGUUUACCCUAUACCACCGUGAUACGAGUACAGUCAACUCCUGCCGGAAGAGUUACCAAUCUGAAGUCGUUUGACAACACGUCCCGCUCUGUGGCUGUGGAAUGGAGCAGACCACUCAACCCGAACGGGCAGAUCUAUGAAUACAUUGUCGACGUAAGGACGGGUAGUCCUUCAGUCUGUGUGAAACGGGUCACCAUCAACUGCACUGAAUGUAACAGAUAUAUGCUAAUCUUUAUAAAGAUGUAGACCAAAUGUGACACAACCAUGACUGUGGUGAUAGCCCAGGCUGACAUUGAAAACGCCGCACACGUCAUACAGCACAACAUUACAGGCCUGAACCCAGAUACAACCUACGCCAUAGACGUUGUAGCUGUUAAUGAAGAAGAGGCCAGGAACAACCGACCACAUUAAUCUACAGACACCCGAGGAAGGCGCUAGUUACACUACGAACUUCAAGGCACAGAGCAGGUCAUCAAGCGAGAUAACUCUGACAUGGCAUUCUCCGCAACCCCGACCUGGGUGUCACUCAUUACAACAUAACUGUGUAUGAAAAACAGGAAGACAGCGAGGGUUACGACACUCUGAAGCUCAUAGCACUUUCAGGGUGGGGAAUCCAGACGUACACCAUUGGCAAUCUCUCCAGCUAUUGGUUUUACAAGUUUGAUAUAGUAGCUGGAA
Haliotis rubra (blacklip abalone) is the source of this 1289-nucleotide long non-coding RNA. RefSeq lists it as uncharacterized. The record is from RefSeq and is a predicted model, not a curated record. The transcript is spliced from 7 exons. NCBI's taxonomy places the organism in Eukaryota, Metazoa, Mollusca, Gastropoda, Lepetellida, Haliotidae.